AGGGCAGUGGCUCAAUUGGUAGAGCUCCGGUCUCCAAAACCGGCGGUUGGGGGUUCGAGUCCCUCCUGCCCUGCGA
RNAcentral lists this transfer RNA (76 nucleotides) under Actinomadura madurae. RNAcentral describes it as "tRNA_Trp_CCA". It matches the Rfam family "tRNA". From Rfam's summary of the family: Transfer RNA (tRNA) molecules are approximately 80 nucleotides in length. Their secondary structure includes four short double-helical elements and three loops (D, anti-codon, and T loops). RNAcentral also lists the same sequence under 13 other names. Lineage: Bacteria; Bacillati; Actinomycetota; Actinomycetes; Streptosporangiales; Thermomonosporaceae. The record is from RNAcentral.